This 433-nucleotide ribosomal RNA is filed under the name uncultured bacterium. RNAcentral describes it as "partial 16S ribosomal RNA". It matches the Rfam family "Bacterial small subunit ribosomal RNA", at positions 29 to 507 of the family's 1533-position model. The record is from RNAcentral.
AACGAACGCUGGCGGCAUGCCUAACACAUGCAAGUCGAACGAGACCUCCGGGCCUAGUUGCGCACGGGUGCGUAACGCGUGGGAAGCUGCCCUUAGGUUCGGAAUAACUCCCCGUAGGGGGUCUUAAUACCGGUUAAUCUAUUCGGACCUAAGAUUUCUGGCUUUUGGAUGGGGCCGGGUUGGAUUCGCCAGUUGGUAGGGUAGAAGCCGAUCAAGGGGACGAUGCUUAGCUGGUCUGUUAGGAUGCUCAGCCACACUGGGAAUGAGACCCGGCCCAGAGUCGUACGGGAGGGAGCAGUGGGGAGUAUUGGAGGAGGGACGAAAGCCUGAUCAAGCAACGCGGCGUGAGUGAUGCAGGCCGUAGGGUUGUAAAGCUCUUUUAGCCGAGAUGAUAAUGACGGUAACGGGAGAAUAAGCACCGGCUAACUACGUG